UAAUACGAAGGGGGCUAGCGUUGUUCGGAAUCACUGGGCGUAAAGGGCGCGUAGGCGGCUGUUCAAGUCGGGGGUGAAAUCCUGUGGCUCAACCACAGAAUGGCCUUCGAUACUGGACGGCUAGAGACCGGAAGAGGUGAGUGGAACUGCGAGUGUAGAGGUGAAAUUCGUAGAUAUUCGCAAGAACACCAGUGGCGAAGGCGGCUCACUGGUCCGGUUCUGACGCUGAGGCGCGAAAGCGUGGGGAGCAAACAGGAUUAGAUACCCUGGUAGUCCACGCCGUAAACGAUGGAUGCCAGCCGUUGGCGAGCUUGCUCGUCAGUGGCGCAGCUAACGCUUUAAGCAUCCCGCCUGGGGAGUACGGUCGCAAGAUUA
Molecule: ribosomal RNA, 375 nt
Filed under: uncultured bacterium
Lineage: Bacteria
Description: bacterial SSU rRNA
Rfam family: Bacterial small subunit ribosomal RNA
Source: RNAcentral